Molecule: small RNA, 28 nt
Filed under: Bombyx mori (domestic silkworm)
Lineage: Eukaryota; Metazoa; Arthropoda; Insecta; Lepidoptera; Bombycidae
Description: ovarian small RNA-9070
Source: RNAcentral
UGUCUGUGAUUGAUGCGAUUUUAAAGCU